CGAACGGUAACAUUUCUAGCUUGCUAGAAGAUGACGAGUGGCGGACGGGUGAGUAAUGCUUGGGAACUUGCCUUCAGGAGGGGGAUAACAGUUGGAAACGACUGCUAAUACCGCAUAACGUCUACGGACCAAAGCGGGCUUCGGCUCGCACCUGAAGAGAGGCCCAAGUGAGAUUAGCUAGUUGGUAAGGUAAAGGCUUACCAAGGCGACGAUCUCUAGCUGUUCUGAGAGGAAGAUCAGCCACACUGGGACUGAGACACGGCCCAGACUCCUACGGGAGGCAGCAGUGGGGAAUAUUGCACAAUGGGGGAAACCCUGAUGCAGCCAUGCCGCGUGUGUGAAGAAGGCCUUCGGGUUGUAAAGCACUUUCAGUUGUGAGGAAAGGUUGGUAGUUAAUACCUGCCAGCUGUGACGUUAACAACAGAAGAAGCACCGGCUAACUCCGUGCCAGCAGCCGCGGUAAUACGGAGGGUGCGAGCGUUAAUCGGAAUUACUGGGCGUAAAGCGCACGCAGGCGGUUUGUUAAGCUAGAUGUGAAAGCCCCGGGCUCAACCUGGGAUGGUCAUUUAGAACUGGCAGACUAGAGUCUUGGAGAGGGGAGUGGAAUUCCAGGUGUAGCGGUGAAAUGCGUAGAUAUCUGGAGGAACAUCAGUGGCGAAGGCGGCUCCCUGGCCAAAGACUGACGCUCAUGUGCGAAAGUGUGGGUAGCGAACAGGAUUAGAUACCCUGGUAGUCCACACCGUAAACGCUGUCUACUAGCUGUGUGUGAAUUUAAUUCGUGCGUAGCGAAGCUAACGCGCUAAGUAGACCGCCUGGGGAGUACGGCCGCAAGGUUAAAACUCAAAUGAAUUGACGGGGGCCCGCACAAGCGGUGAGCAUGUGGUUUAAUUCGAUGCAACGCGAAGAACCUUACCUACACUUGACAUGCAGAGACUUUCAGAGAUGAUUGCUGCUUCGGGACUCUGACACAGUGCUGCAUGCUGUCGUCAGCUCGUGUCGUGAGAUGUGGUAGUCCCGCACGAGCGCAACCUUGUCCUAGUGCAGCAUUAGUGGGCACUCUAAGGAGACUGCCGUGACAACCGAGGAGGUGGGACGACGUCAGUCAUCAUGGCCCUACUGUAGGGUACACCCUGCUACAAUGGCAGUACAAGGAAGCGGCCGGGAUGUGACGCAACCCUUAACAUGUCUGAUCCGAUGGAUGCCAAUGCACUCUGAUCGAAACUGUUUAAUCCAGUCAGCACAUCGGGAGGAAAGAUAAUCUGC
Molecule: ribosomal RNA, 1263 nt
Filed under: uncultured Gammaproteobacteria bacterium
Lineage: Bacteria; Pseudomonadati; Pseudomonadota; Gammaproteobacteria
Description: partial 16S ribosomal RNA
Rfam family: Bacterial small subunit ribosomal RNA
Source: RNAcentral